RNAcentral lists this ribosomal RNA (559 nucleotides) under uncultured Rhizophagus. Its description in RNAcentral is "SSU rRNA". It matches the Rfam family "Eukaryotic small subunit ribosomal RNA", at positions 312 to 870 of the family's 1831-position model. Lineage: Eukaryota; Fungi; Glomeromycota; Glomeromycetes; Glomerales; Glomeraceae. The record is from RNAcentral.
UUAUCAACUUUCGAUGGUAGGAUAGAGGCCUACCAUGGUGGUAACGGGUAACGGGGUGUUAGGGCACGACACCGGAGAGGGAGCCUGAGAAACGGCUACCACAUCCAAGGAUGGCAGCAGGCGCGCAAAUUACCCAAUCCCGACACGGGGAGGUAGUGACAAUAAAUAACAAUACGGGGUUCUUUCGGAUCUCGUAAUUGGAAUGAGUACAAUUUAAAUCUCUUAACGAGGAACAAUUGGAGGGCAAGUCUGGUGCCAGCAGCCGCGGUAAUUCCAGCUCCAAUAGCGUAUAUUAAAGUUGUUGCAGUUAAAAAGCUCGUAGUUGAAUUUCGGGGUUAGUAGGUUGGUCAUGCCUCUGGUAUGUACUGGUCUCACUGAUUCCUCCUUCCUGAUGAACCGUAAUGCCAUUAAUUUGGUGUUGCGGGGAAUUUGGACUGUUACUUUGGAAAAAUUAGAGUGUUUAAAGCAAGCUAACGCUUUGGAAUUACAUUUUAGCAUGGGAAAUAAAUGGAAAAUAGGACCGUUCGAUCCCUAUUUUUGUUGGGUUUUCCUAGGGAUU